AUUGUUGCGACCAAUACCAUGUAUAUAUUGAAGGGAGUAUUGAACUCGCUUGUUGUUUGGUAUCUCAACUCCUCCAACACGGACACACUUGAUUUGAAGACCACGGACCUGAGGGUUUGAAAUGGGAAAGGAAAGGGUGUUAGAGAGAGGAUUGGAGUUGCGAGCAUUGCAGAUAACGGAAAGCGAAGGAGCGAGGGGCAUUGCUAACGUCUGCG
Molecule: unclassified non-coding RNA, 215 nt
Filed under: Hevea brasiliensis (rubber tree)
Lineage: Eukaryota; Viridiplantae; Streptophyta; Magnoliopsida; Malpighiales; Euphorbiaceae
Source: RNAcentral